UCUCCGUUGGUGAACCAGCGGAGGGAUCAUUACCGAGUUUACAACUCCCAAACCCCUGUGAACAUACCAUCUGUUGCCUCGGCGGUGGCUGCUUCGGCAGCCCGCCAGAGGACCCAAACCCUUGAUUUUAUACAGUAUCUUCUGAGUAAAUGAUUAAAUAAAUCAAAACUUUCAACAACGGAUCUCUUGGUUCUG
RNAcentral lists this unclassified non-coding RNA (195 nucleotides) under plant metagenome. RNAcentral's name for it is "partial contains small subunit ribosomal RNA, internal transcribed spacer 1, and 5.8S ribosomal RNA". The record is from RNAcentral.